This 928-nucleotide long non-coding RNA is filed under the name Sus scrofa (pig). RNAcentral describes it as "lncRNA (ENSSSCG00060062888.1)". Lineage: Eukaryota; Metazoa; Chordata; Mammalia; Artiodactyla; Suidae. The record is from RNAcentral.
CCGAUGCUCCCCCAGCUUGGGCUUGGCGAGGACAGUUGGGGGCCGGCCGGAUCUCCCCUCCGGCUCUCCCUGCACCCCAAAAGAACGGCCCACCAAGCUGGGUGAAGCCCUUUGGGACCCGCAGUUACUUUUAUUGAUUUUCUUGAGACCUGACAGCCAAAAAAAAGGGGCGCGGUGCGCAGUGGAAAGAGGCCAGGCCCUGCAGAAAAUGCCAGGCAAACAGACCUCCCGAACAAAGGAGCGCACCCAACUUAGACACCCCCAGACUGCUUUGAAAUUCUUCCUGCCCUUGCAACGUCUGUUUCUUUGAAGGUGCACCUUUGGACCAAAGCCGUUGGUUUCUUCCAAAUCCAUCCGGUGAACCUGCCCCCACCUCCCGUAAACAAAGAAAAAGCCAGGGACUGACCCCAAGUUUCUAGGAGCAGCAGUGAGGUUGACAUAUUUCAGACAAAUCGCAGCAGCCAACUUCCUGUCCGGCCCCUUUUCCACGGAGAAACCCUCCCUCCACCCUUCCCGGGUCCAGGUGAAGAGAUUAAAACUCUACACGAGCCCCUACAUGGAAUGCUCAGCUGGGCGACAUUUUUUAAUAUUGCAUUACACUAUGAAUUUCUCUCUGUCCCCACGGAAACAUACCUCUAGUUCGGUGGAACGUGCCCAGCCCUUCUAUCUUGAACAGAAGAUCACAGUAUUUAAUGCUAAUUUCCUUGGGAUGGUGCUUACAAUACACCAGGUGAGGUUUUCAUAAUAUACUGUUACAAUACAGAUGUUAAACAGAGAAGGGGAAGUGUGCAAAUCCCAAACUGCAAGAGACAGCAGGGUUAUCAUCUUUAUAAAAGUUUCAGCACAAAAUACUAUCCGAACACUGAGGAGGAGCCGCUCAGCAGUUUCCCGCUGCCAGGAAGAGAAAUUCACAUGUUGAGGCGGUCCC